RNAcentral lists this unclassified non-coding RNA (235 nucleotides) under uncultured Corticiales. Its description in RNAcentral is "sequence contains ITS2". Lineage: Eukaryota; Fungi; Basidiomycota; Agaricomycetes. The record is from RNAcentral.
AUCUCUCAAUCUCUGAGCUUGGUAACUCGAGCAAAGGAAUUGGACUUGGGAGCUUGCUGGCGAUCCCGCCAGCUCUCCUUGAAUGCAUUAGCUUGGACCCUUACUGCAAGGAAUCCCCGGUGUGAUAAUUAUCUACGCCGUCGGAACGCUUGUGGCGCGUGUUACCCUGCUUGAUUGCAGUCGCUGUAACCGUGGGAAAACGAGCUUCUAAUCGUCCUCGGACAACCUUCUUGAC